GUCCAAAUUACUUUUAAAAUACUGGGUACUAGAUACUUUUUUUAGUAGUUAGGGGUGGGAAUUUAAACACAGCCCAAGUGUCACAGUUCAGACAUCAGCGCCCAUCUCCAACCACCAGAGGGAGCCCUCGCCAGAGUUCUGACUCCUUGUGCUCCUCACUACAACUCCCAUCAGCCACUGCCAUGGACUCCUUCCUGCUCAGCUGUUCAUCAUCAUAAUCAUGGUUGGUCACACAGCAUAUAAACCCACUCCAGCCUCCUCUCCAGUGUGAAGUCUUGUAUUACUGAGCAGGUGGAACCUUUGCUUGGGUUGCAGUGCCUUGACCCUGUCCUCCUUAUUGACCCUCUGCCUUGCUUUUGUGUUUUGACCCUUGCCUGGAUUCUGACAACGCUCAUGUCUUGCCCUUGCUCAUUAAAACCUCAGCCUCUUCAUCAUGCCAUGUGAUAUCUAGCUUCCUUUCAGCUACUUCCACCAGGGGGCACUGCAGCAAACUCCCCACAAAUGGUGUGGGUGAAGUAUUGCUGUAAAUGUCCUGAUCCAACCCUCUGGAGUUCCCUACACUUAGUACAUGAAACACUAAAGAGUUCCAACAUUGAGUGCCCUAGAAUCCUCUUAUCUGUGUAACUAUCUGUACCAUGUGAUCCAAACCCAACGCAGCUUUUCAGUUCAGAUGAGAUGGGAUGUGUUCAGCAUGGCACAGUCAGAUACAAACACCUAGAGUUGCAAUUCUUUUACCAACGUUGCCAAAAAGCACCAGCAGAUUGAUUGGUGACGUAUGCUUCUUCUGCAGAUGGAAGCUAAACAUGCAUGUGAGCUGAUGUGAAUCCAGCAGCAUGGAUCUGAGAGAGGACGGAGCCCCUCCCUCUAUUAAUGCUCUACGACAGAAGCGUGAGAGCCAGAGCAAAGCUCAGCGGUGAGCUGAACACCUUCCAACAGUCUGGGGCGUCUGAGCUCAGCACUCAGGUUUGACACCAACACUUCUGCUUUACAGGAACCAGCCCAGACUGGGAUCCAGCUCCAGUGGGUCCCUGAGAAGUGACCGUUCAAAGGAAGAUGGUCCUGACUUCAAAGGAAACACCAAGACGUCACCCAGGAGGAACCAGCCCAGACUGGGAUCCAGCUCCAGUGGGUCCCUGAGAAGUGACCGUUCAAAGGAAGAUGGUCCUGACUUCAAAGGAAACACCAAGACGUCACCCAGGAGGUACAUAGGUCCCUUUUUCUUUAAGUUUUCAGUUCAGCAGCACCAGCUUCAGUCUUUGAGCAGCAUUUGUAGUGUGUUUGAUUCUACAAGCCAUGA
This 1297-nucleotide long non-coding RNA is filed under the name Oryzias javanicus (javanese ricefish). RNAcentral's name for it is "lncRNA (ENSOJAG00000002018.1)". The record is from RNAcentral. Lineage: Eukaryota; Metazoa; Chordata; Actinopteri; Beloniformes; Adrianichthyidae.